RNAcentral lists this ribosomal RNA (480 nucleotides) under uncultured bacterium. Its description in RNAcentral is "SSU rRNA". It matches the Rfam family "Bacterial small subunit ribosomal RNA", at positions 26 to 521 of the family's 1533-position model. The record is from RNAcentral.
AGGACGAACGCUGGCGGCGUGCUUAACACAUGCAAGUCGAGCGAGACCCUGCCUUCGGGUGGGUGUUCUAGCGGCGAACGGGUGAGUAACACGUGGGCAACCUGCCCUCAGCUCUGGGAUAACUCCAAGAAAUUGGGGCUAAUACCGGAUAUGACCGCUGACCGCAUGGUCUGGUGGUGGAAAGAUUUAUCGGCUGGGGAUGGGCCCGCGGCCUAUCAGCUUGUUGGUGGGGUAGUGGCCUACCAAGGCGACGACGGGUAGCUGGCCUGAGAGGGUGACCGGCCACACUGGGACUGAGACACGGCCCAGACUCCUACGGGAGGCAGCAGUGGGGAAUAUUGCGCAAUGGGCGGAAGCCUGACGCAGCGACGCCGCGUGGGGAUGACGGCCUUCGGUUGUAAACCUCUUCAGCAGGGACGAAGCGAAAGUGACGGUACCUGCAGAAGAAGCACCGGCCAACUACGUGCCAGCAGCCGCGGU